Molecule: long non-coding RNA, 356 nt
Organism: Myotis lucifugus (little brown bat)
Lineage: Eukaryota; Metazoa; Chordata; Mammalia; Chiroptera; Vespertilionidae
Exons: 3
Source: RefSeq, a predicted model, not a curated record
AGGCGCGGGCGCGACAGGGCGGGGCGUCGCGUUGGGCAGGCCGGCUAGGCCACGCCCCCACCGCCCUGUCCCAGCCUUGCGGGGUGUGGCCAGCGCGCAGGUGGGAACACAGGCGGGCGAAAUUUUUUUUUCAAAAGUGUUCUUGAUUUCUGCAAUGGGGUAGUAAUGCUGGAACCAGAAGGCCCGUUCAAAAUGACCGAGCAAGCACCUGCCCUCGCUGACCUCUAAAGGUUAACACAUACUAAAGAGCAAUGCUGUCUGAGGAGCAGAGGAACUCUGGAAAACUCUGCUGUCUGAAAUGAAAGCAAGGCACUCUCCACUAACAGCUGGUGGAUUCCGGACUUCCGCCCACAGGA